Molecule: long non-coding RNA, 150 nt
Organism: Haliotis rubra (blacklip abalone)
Lineage: Eukaryota; Metazoa; Mollusca; Gastropoda; Lepetellida; Haliotidae
Exons: 2
Source: RefSeq, a predicted model, not a curated record
CCCAAGGUGCUACCUCACCACUCAAGGGCAUUUAAUGCCAAUGUGAUUUCCAAAGGAAAUGUCUUCAACUGAAAGCUGCAUUACAGAAAGGACAGACACAUCUUGUGUGAUCUGUAACCAGGAGAAAGGGAAUGUCAAGCUUUCACAAAA